This 611-nucleotide long non-coding RNA is filed under the name Capsicum annuum. Its description in RNAcentral is "long non-coding RNA (CANN_LNC008060)". The record is from RNAcentral. Lineage: Eukaryota; Viridiplantae; Streptophyta; Magnoliopsida; Solanales; Solanaceae.
AACCAAAUACCAAUUAUAUAACCCAAAAACUACAAGGAUACAAUAAACUGAUAGCACUACCCAAAACUAACCCAAGCCUAGUUAAAACCUGUUUUGACUAUGGACUACUAAAUACCAUAUACACCCAAGACGGAGAAGAGCUAACAGCUAUGGAGGAAUUAUACAAGAUAUUCACUACCUACAAAAGAAUAAAAAAAGGAAAUUUAUUUUAUAUAAAGUGUUAUACUGCACCAGCAGAGAUAUUAUAUGAUGAAAUAAAAAUAUACCCACGACGGAGAAGAGCUAACAGCUAUGGAGGAAUUAUACAAGAUAUUCACUACCUAUAAAAGAAUAACAAAAGGAAAUUUAUUUUAUAUAAAGUGUUAUACUGCACCAGCAGAGAUAUUAUAUGACGAAAUAAAACCAGUUAUACAAGUUGUAAAGAUAGGACUAACAAGAGAUAUGAUUAUACCAGAAGAUAUUUCGCAACAACCGGAGAUACCUAGGAUCGAGAUACCAGAUUUUUAUGCAAAUAAAAGACUUAUUGGACUAGCUACGAUCAUUCAAGAACUAGCAAAUAAUUUUAUGAACGGAAACCCAAUAUGGAGCUACUAUUCAAGAGAUCAUCAAAU